GGCGGCAUGCCUUACACAUGCAAGUCGAACGGCAGCACGGGUGCUUGCACCUGGUGGCGAGGAACGGGUGAGUAAUAUAUCGGAACGUGCCCAGUCGUGGGGGAUAACGUAGCGAAAGUUACGCUAAUACCGCAUACGAUCUACGGAUGAAAGCGGGGGAGGGCAAGACCUCGCGCGAUUGGAGCGGCCGAUAUCAGAUUAGGUAGUUGGUGGGGUAAAGGCUCACCAAGCCAACGAUCUGUAGCUGGUCUGAGAGGACGACCAGCCACACUUGAACUGAGACACGGU
Molecule: ribosomal RNA, 288 nt
Filed under: uncultured beta proteobacterium
Lineage: Bacteria; Pseudomonadati; Pseudomonadota; Betaproteobacteria
Description: partial 16S ribosomal RNA
Rfam family: Bacterial small subunit ribosomal RNA
Source: RNAcentral